Molecule: long non-coding RNA, 1666 nt
Organism: Hibiscus syriacus
Lineage: Eukaryota; Viridiplantae; Streptophyta; Magnoliopsida; Malvales; Malvaceae
Exons: 3
Source: RefSeq, a predicted model, not a curated record
ACAUGUAUUAUAUAUAUAUACAUUUUCUUCCCAUUGGUGUGCUUUGUAGGAAAGAUGGAGAAACUGAAAGAAAAUGUAAUUUUCUUUCCAUUCAUUGCCUGGUAGAGUUGAAAAAUGAGAGGAAAGAAAAUAAAGCUUUUGGAAAAUACCAAAUGCUGAACUGACUUGCAUCUCUUUAACAUUCUCUUCUCUUUUCAUUCCUAGUGUCUCUAGAUUCGGAUUUUUGAGCAGAUAUAUGAGUUUGGGAGAAAUUCAUGUGCAACUUAGUAGUUAAAUAUCAGGUUGAAAUGAGGUUUUGGAACUUGAUAAUUGUGCAUGAACAAAUGAAAGGCCAAGUUAUUCUAUAGAGCUUCAGGUAGGGGCAAUGUUCUCUCAUACAUAUGUUUUUGGCUACCAGAUUGUGAUGGGAUAACGGUGAGCAUAUGGUGUGAUCAUGAUAUUAUAUGCAAUAUUUUAUCUUCGCUCGAUGCCUCAUUAGUUUGAUCAUUUAUAAUGAAAAAAAUCUCCCAGUGAUGUCUCUCUAGUUUGAUCACGAUAAUAUAUGCAAUACUUUAAUAUUCUGGUUGAUGCCUUACUAAUCCUCAUAUGCCCUCUUUGCCUCACUAGUUUGAUCAUGAUAUUAUUGCAAUACUUUUAUCCCCCGGUUGAUGCCUCAGUAAUCCUCAUAUGCCAUCUUUAUGUAAAAUCUUAAGGCAAUUUCUCUGCACAACUCUCCUAUGGAUAGGAUUACCCUUUCCUUUUUUGGCUCUCUGGAGUGUUCUAUGGUAGCUCACACCCAGCUGAUCGACUUUUUUUUUUCCUUUUUGCUUUGGGCCAAAAGAAGGAACAAGGCUGUUGGUAGAAUUUUUUUAACAUUACCUUCUAUUGAAGCUGGUUGUUUGCACAUUGUUUUAAUUUUUUGGCACAUUAAUACGAUGAUUAAAACUGGAAUCCUAUGAAUUCGCAGGUCCACAAUUGUACAUUCCAAUACCAUUGCCCCCAAAGAGCAACCAAGCCUCAAGUGCUUAAAAGAAAGGCAAAAUGCAGAAGUGGCAUACAGCAAAAGUUCCAGGGAAGCCGAAGCCAUUCCACUACAUUUAUCAAGAACCUUGCAAGUGCAACAAAGAAUCCCACCGGCUAAACCAGGAAAGAUAGUAGGUCCUGUUGCACUGUAUGAGAAUGGAACAAUCAUGAAAGAUUCCUAUGAUCCAAGAACGUUCAUAAGAAGCACUGGUCUUCCCACCAGAGUCUGUCCACCCUGCAUAUUCUUAUCACAAAUCUGGCACAGUUAAUCAAGAAAGACCUGGAAGGGAGUUGCCAUCCCAAGCUAAACAAGGUUCUCAAUGUGGCAUGUCAGCCAAAUUUUCACCGGAUGUAGCUAUCGACAUCGAUUCGAACCCAUUUUUCAUGACCAGAGUGAAGAAGGUGGAGCCGGCUGACAAUAGAAUUACCAAUGAGGCAAACUUGUUGCAGGCAAAAGCUCAGUACAGUGGAAUAGGUGUUGCUGCAACUGGUGCGGCAACAGCCACCGGCUGUCGGAAGCUCGGAACUGUUCAGUACGGCAUGACAAGGAUGUAUUAGCCGGAGAUUAAGAAUGGACCCUUUGCAUAGAGGAAGGGACUCGUUUAGUGAAAUCUGUUAAAAGGAGAUCAGGCUAGCUUGGAAAUGGGGAAGUUAUAUGAUACGU